Molecule: non-coding RNA, 30 nt
Filed under: Macaca fascicularis (crab-eating macaque)
Lineage: Eukaryota; Metazoa; Chordata; Mammalia; Primates; Cercopithecidae
Also listed under: 1 other name
Source: RNAcentral
UAACUCCUUCCACACCGGGCUGGUCACUGC